Molecule: ribosomal RNA, 458 nt
Filed under: uncultured bacterium
Lineage: Bacteria
Description: partial 16S ribosomal RNA
Rfam family: Bacterial small subunit ribosomal RNA
Source: RNAcentral
CCUACGGGAGGCAGCAGUGAGGAAUAUUGGUCAAUGGGCGGAAGCCUGAACCAGCCAAGUCGCGUGAGGGAGUACUGCCCUAUGGGUUGUAAACCUCUUUUGUCGGGGAGCAAAAGCCGGACGUGUCCGGCUGUGAGAGUACCCGAAGAAAAAGCAUCGGCUAACUCCGUGCCAGCAGCCGCGGUAAUACGGAGGAUGCGAGCGUUAUCCGGAUUUAUUGGGUUUAAAGGGUGCGCAGGCGGAUUUUUAAGUCAGCGGUAAAAUCGUGGGGCUCAACCCCAUCCAGCCGUUGAAACUGGGGAUCUAGAGUGUGCGAGAGGUAUGCGGAAUGCGUGGUGUAGCGGUGAAAUGCAUAGAUAUCACGCAGAACCCCGAUUGCGAAGGCAGCAUACCGGUGCACAACUGACGCUCAGGCACGAAAGCGUGGGUAUCGAACAGGAUUAGAUACCCGGGUAGUC